AUUACGCGAAGAACCUUACCAACACUUGACAUGAACGUCGCGACAUUGAUAUUAAAGUUUUCGGUUCGGCCGGACGAAACACAGGUGCUGCAUGGCUGUCGUCAGCUCGUGUCGUGAGAUGUUGGGUUAAGUCCCGCAACGAGCGCAACCCUCACUUUUAGUUGCCAUCGUUUAGUUGGGCACUCUGAAAGAACUGCCAGUGAUAAGCUGGAGGAAGGUGGGGAUGACGUCAAGUCCUCAUGGCUUACGUGUCCGCUACACACGUGCUACAAUGGCAUUUACAACAGGAAGCAAAACGGCGACGUUAAGCAAAUCCUAAAAAAAUGCCUCAGUUCGGAUUGUACUCUGCA
RNAcentral lists this ribosomal RNA (350 nucleotides) under uncultured bacterium. RNAcentral's name for it is "bacterial SSU rRNA". It matches the Rfam family "Bacterial small subunit ribosomal RNA", at positions 956 to 1309 of the family's 1533-position model. The record is from RNAcentral.